AUUUUCCGCAAUGGGCGCAAGCCUGACGGAGCAACGCCGCGUGGGGGAGGACGCCCUUCGGGGUGUAAACCCCUUUUCUUGGGGACGACGAGCGACGGUACCCGAGGAAGAAGGCCCGGCUAACUACGUGCCAGCAGCCGCGGUAAUACGUAGGGGCCGAGCGUUGUCCGGAGUUACUGGGCGUAAAGCGCGCGCAGGCGGCCUCGCGCGCCCGGCGUGAAAGCCCCCGGCUCAACCGGGGAGGGUCGUCGGGGACGGCGGGGCUUGAGGGCGGUAGGGGCCGGUGGAAUUCCCGGUGUAGUGGUGAAAUGCGUAGAGAUCGGGAGGAACACCCGUGGCGAAGGCGGCCGGCUGGGCCGACCCUGACGCUGAGGCGCGAAGGCGUGGGGAGCGAACGGG
Molecule: ribosomal RNA, 399 nt
Filed under: uncultured bacterium
Lineage: Bacteria
Description: bacterial SSU rRNA
Rfam family: Bacterial small subunit ribosomal RNA
Source: RNAcentral